Molecule: ribosomal RNA, 484 nt
Filed under: uncultured bacterium
Lineage: Bacteria
Description: partial 16S ribosomal RNA
Rfam family: Bacterial small subunit ribosomal RNA
Source: RNAcentral
GAUGAACGCUGGCGGCGUGCUUAACACAUGCAAGUCGAACGGUGAAGCAGGAGCUUGCUCUUGUGGAUCAGUGGCGAACGGGUGAGUAACACGUGAGCAACCUGCCCCUGACUCUGGGAUAAGCGCUGGAAACGGCGUCUAAUACUGGAUAUGUGAUGUGACCGCAUGGUCUGCAUCUGGAAAGAAUUUCGGUUGGGGAUGGGCUCGCGGCCUAUCAGCUUGUUGGUGAGGUAAUGGCUCACCAAGGCGUCGACGGGUAGCCGGCCUGAGAGGGGGACCGGCCACACUGGGACUGAGACACGGCCCAGACUCCUACGGGAGGCAGCAGUGGGGAAUAUUGCACAAUGGGCGCAAGCCUGAUGCAGCAACGCCGCGUGAGGGAUGACGGCCUUCGGGUUGUAAACCUCUUUUAGUAGGGAAGAAGCGAAAGUGCCGGUACCUGCAGAAAAAGCACCGGCUAACUACGUGCCAGCCGCCGCGGUAA